GGCAGUCUUGGCCUAAUGGUUAGAGAGUUGGACUUGUAAGCUGAAUCUGAAGGUUGUGGGUUUGAGUCUCAGGUCUGGCA
Non-coding RNA from Pangasius djambal, 80 nucleotides. The record is from the annotation of a GenBank genome assembly. Lineage: Eukaryota; Metazoa; Chordata; Actinopteri; Siluriformes; Pangasiidae.